UGAGACAAAGGACGAGCCGGGAAUGGAAAAACCGGUGCAAGCGAGGUAGCUUCAUGGGAGGGAAAACCCCCAUGUAUAAGGCGAAUGCGUGAAGCGUAGCGAACAUAAAAGUAGCGAAGCGUGUGGAGUCACUGUCAGGAAAAGCCGCUAUUGCGUAUCAUGAACCCGUACCGUAAACCGACACAGGUGGAUGAGGAGAGAAUCCUAAGGCCGACGGAAGAAGCAUUGUUAAGGAAUUCGGCAAAAUGACCCCGUAACUUCGGGAGAAGGGGUGCCUACGAAUGUAGGCCGCAGAGAAUUGGCCCAAGCAACUGUUUAGCAAAAACACAGGUUUAUGCGAAACCGAAAGGUGAAGUAUAUGAGCUGACGCCUGCCCGGUGCUGGAAGGUUAAGGGGAGAGCUUAGAGGCAACUCGAAGGUUCGAACUUAAGCCCCAGUAAACGGCGGCCGUAACAAUAACGGUCCUAAGGUAGCGAAAUUCCUUGUCGGGUAAGUUCCGACCCGCACGAAAGGCGUAAUGAUUUGGGCACUGUCUCGACAAUGCAUCCGGUGAAAUUGAAAUACCAGUGAAGAUGCUGGUUACCCGCGCCAGGACGGAAAGACCCCAUGGAGCUUUACUCCAGUUUGAUGCUGGGAUUCGGUACUGCAUGUACAGGAUAGGCGGGAGACUAGGAAGAUAUAACGCCAGUUGUAUCAGAGUCGCUGUUGGGAUACCGCCCUUGUAGUACUGGGUUUCUAACCUGCCACCGUGAACCGGUGGAGGGACGACGUCAGGCGGGGAGUUUGACUGGGGCGGUCGCCUCCGAGAGGGUAUCGGAGGCGCUCAAAGGUUCCCUCAGAAUGGUUGGAAACCAUUCGAAGAGUGCAAAGGCAGAAGGGAGCUUGACUGCGAGGUCGACGGACCGAGCAGGUACGAAAGUAGGACUUAGUGAUCCGGUGGUAGAAAGUGGGAUUGCCAUCGCUCAACGGAUAAAAGCUACCCUGGGAUAACAGGCUAACCACUCCCAAGAGUUCACAUCGACGGAGUGGUUUGGCACCUCGAUGUCGGCUCAUCGCAUCCUGGGGCUGUAGCAGGUCCCAAGGGUUGGGCUGUUCGCCCAUUAAAGCGGUACGCGAGCUGGGUUCAGAACGUCGUGAGACAGUUCGGUCCCUAUCCGGCGCGGGCGUAGGAUAUCUGAAAGGAGCUGGCCUUAGUACGAGAGGACCGGGCUGGACGGACCGCUGGUGUAUCUGUUGUCAUACCAAUGGCAUAGCAGGGUAGCCAAGUCUGGAAGGGAUAAACGCUGAAGGCAUCUAAGCGUGAAGCCCCCCUUAAGAUAAGAUAUCCCUGGAGUUAAUCCAGUAAGACCCCUUGAAGACGACGAGGUAGAUAGGGCAGAGGUGGAAGAGUGGUAACACAUGGAGCUGACUGUCACUAAUAGGUCGAGGGCUUG
Molecule: ribosomal RNA, 1433 nt
Filed under: metagenome
Description: bacterial LSU rRNA
Rfam family: Bacterial large subunit ribosomal RNA
Source: RNAcentral